CAGGACUCGCAAGACUCCUACAACCCUGUGAACUUAACUAUAAGCACGUUGCUUCGGCGGGUGUCUCGGCGAGGGUCCUCCCUCCCCGGGGCGCUAAGCCCGCCGGCAGCCUACUAUACUCUGUCUCUUUGCGUUGGCAUCUCGAGUACAAUCAAACAAGUUAA
Molecule: unclassified non-coding RNA, 164 nt
Filed under: soil metagenome
Description: partial internal transcribed spacer 1
Source: RNAcentral